GAUGAACGCUGGCGGCGUGCCUAACACAUGCAAGUCGAACGAAGCACUUAAGAUCGUUUCUUCGGUUGACGACCUUUGUACCUUAGAGUCAGACGGGUGAGUAACGCGUGGGUAACCUGCCUCACAUAGGGGGAUAAAAGCUAGUAACGCAUGAUAACACUGCAUACAACGAUAAGAUCGCAUAAUCCCGAUGGCAUAGAUUUAUCGGUGUGCGACGGACGCGUAUCUGGUUAGCUAGUUGGAGACGUAACGGCCCACCAAGGCUUCGACCAGCAGCCGGGCUGAGAGGGUGAACGACCACACUGGGAGUGGGAGACGGCCCGAACUCCUGCGGAUGGCAGCAAGUGGGAAUAUGGCACAAUGGGGGAGACCAUGAUGCUGCCGCGCCGCGAGAGUGAGGAAGUAUAGCAGUAUGUAAGGCACUAUCAGAAGGGAAGAAAAUGACGGUACCUAACUAGAAAGCCCCGGCUAACUACGUG
RNAcentral lists this ribosomal RNA (479 nucleotides) under uncultured bacterium. RNAcentral's name for it is "partial 16S ribosomal RNA". It matches the Rfam family "Bacterial small subunit ribosomal RNA", at positions 28 to 507 of the family's 1533-position model. The record is from RNAcentral.